This 458-nucleotide ribosomal RNA is filed under the name Paracamallanus sp. AM-2008. Its description in RNAcentral is "eukaryotic LSU rRNA". The stretch from base 389 to 458 matches the Rfam family "Eukaryotic large subunit ribosomal RNA", at positions 1 to 70 of the family's 3401-position model. Lineage: Eukaryota; Metazoa; Nematoda; Chromadorea; Rhabditida; Camallanidae. The record is from RNAcentral.
UUUGCAGAACCCCAUGAGCACUAAGAAAUUCGAACGCACAUUGCGCCCAUCGGGUUCGUUCCCGUUGGCACGUCUGGCUGAGGGUCGAAUUAUCGAAAACGAUCCGCGUUGGGCAGCUUCGCGCGCUAGUAGUCGGAGCGUCGCCCAUGCGGUGUAUUCGGCGAGCUAUGGUCCUAACACGACCAUACCUUGCUAAGUCUUUGCUAUGCCAUUUGCUCGCAGUCAUUUGCUCAAUGCGAGGCGAUGAUGGCCGUCAAGUGUUGCUCUCAGAUGCGGCUCCGAGCACGUGUUGUUGCUCUGUUGGUGGUGUGGUGGUGAUAUGGUUUGUUUGGAUGCAUGCAUCGACAGCUAGUGAUGAGAGUGAUGCGAGGUGGCUAUCGCUUUGUUUUGACCUCAGCUCAGUCGUGACUACCCGCUGAAUUUAAGCAUCUAACUAAGCGGAGGAAAAGAAACUAAAU